This 119-nucleotide ribosomal RNA is filed under the name Pteropus alecto (black flying fox). The record is from RNAcentral. Lineage: Eukaryota; Metazoa; Chordata; Mammalia; Chiroptera; Pteropodidae.
GUCUACAGCCAUGCCACCCAGAACAUGCCCAAUCUCAUCUGAUCUUGAAAGCUAAGCAGGGUCGGGCCUGGUUAGUACUUGGAUGGAAGACCACCUAGGAAGACUAGGUGGUGUAGGAG